Molecule: long non-coding RNA, 476 nt
Filed under: Zostera marina
Lineage: Eukaryota; Viridiplantae; Streptophyta; Magnoliopsida; Alismatales; Zosteraceae
Description: long non-coding RNA (ZMAR_LNC004832)
Source: RNAcentral
GUAUACAAAUAGUGACGUAUCUGAAGUGUUGUUUUUGAAAUUAUUUAAGAUUAAGAAGUUACUAAAUCUUUAUUACCAUUUCUUUGGUGCUUGUUUGAGUUCAUCCAAACCACAAAAUCAAUCCUUUUCAUUUUAAUACUCACAGAACAACCACAUCUUGAAACUCCAUUCUUUCGGCGCUUGCCAACUCGAGAAGGAAGUAUUAGAUCAACAUUCCAUUGAUUCGAACAUAAUAAUCGUCUUAUAAUUAAAAUCUUUUUGCCUUCUACAUUGCUUGUUGUGUCUUCGGUAGAAACCAAUGUAACACACUUACUAGAACAUGGAGGGAAAGAAGAAGAGAAUCUCCUUGUGGAGCCGGAGGUUGGAAAAAGAAUCUUCUUGUGGAGCCGGCGGUUGGAAAAAGAAUCUCCUUCUGGAGCCGGAGGUUGGAAAAGAAUCUCCCUAGGGAGCCGGUGGGGGAAAACUAGAAUUGGUUG